Molecule: long non-coding RNA, 405 nt
Organism: Monodelphis domestica (gray short-tailed opossum)
Lineage: Eukaryota; Metazoa; Chordata; Mammalia; Didelphimorphia; Didelphidae
Source: RefSeq, a predicted model, not a curated record
AGGCUGAAGAGGGAGAAGCUGGGAACAGGUCCCCUGGUAGCUUCUUUCCUAGGCGCCAAAGGCUUCAGAAGAAGGGUGAUGAAGGGUGUUAUCAAGGGAGGAGGAGGGAGACAUGCCCUCUUCUGCAUCUUUGACCAGCAACCAGAAAAUCUGAAAGAUGGAUGUUUCCAGCCUCAGUGGAUAUUCAUGAGUUAGAGAGUUCUUGAGUUCCUUGAGUCAGUAUUGAUGGCUUUGUAGAAGCAUUAUCCUGAAUAUUUGAACCUAAGACGUCCUGACUCCAGGCUAGGUGUUCUAUCCCCUGGGUAACUUAGCAUCUGUGAGUAGUGCAGGAGCCUGCCAACAUUUCAGCCAUCUGGGCUUCCUCGGGGCAGUAUACAAGUAAAAUAUGGGAAUAAAAUAUGUGAG